UGCGGGAUAGUGUAUAGGCUGCACGGUGGACUUUGACUCCGCAAGAGAAGGUUCGAAUCCUUCUUCCGCAA
Molecule: transfer RNA, 71 nt
Filed under: Puniceicoccus vermicola
Lineage: Bacteria; Pseudomonadati; Verrucomicrobiota; Opitutia; Puniceicoccales; Puniceicoccaceae
Rfam family: tRNA
About the family: Transfer RNA (tRNA) molecules are approximately 80 nucleotides in length. Their secondary structure includes four short double-helical elements and three loops (D, anti-codon, and T loops).
Source: Rfam by way of RNAcentral